RNAcentral lists this small RNA (91 nucleotides) under Salmonella enterica subsp. enterica serovar Derby. RNAcentral describes it as "partial RtT sRNA". It matches the Rfam family "RtT RNA", at positions 1 to 90 of the family's 130-position model. From Rfam's summary of the family: This family represents a bacterial cis-regulatory element known as RtT RNA. Lineage: Bacteria; Pseudomonadati; Pseudomonadota; Gammaproteobacteria; Enterobacterales; Enterobacteriaceae. The record is from RNAcentral. RNAcentral also lists the same sequence under 13 other names.
UAUCUCUCCGUACGGGGAAGGAUGAGAAGCUUCGACUAAGGUUCGAUUCGAGCGCAGCGAGAAAGCGUUGCCGCAGGCAACGACCCGAAGG